GAUGAACGCUGGCGGCGUGCCUAAUACAUGCAAGUCGAGCGAACGGACGAGAAGCUUGCUUCUCUGAUGUUAGCGGCGGACGGGUGAGUAACACGUGGAUAACCUACCUAUAAGACUGGGAUAACUUCGGGAAACCGGAGCUAAUACCGGAUGAUAUUUUGAACCGCAUGGUUCAAAAGUGAAAGACGGUCUUGCUGUCACUUAUAGAUGGAUCCGCGCUGCAUUAGCUAGUUGGUAAGGUAACGGCUUACCAAGGCAACGAUGCAUAGCCGACCUGAGAGGGUGAUCCGCCACACUGGAACUGAGACACGCUCCAGACUCCUACGGGAGGCAGCAGUAGGGAAUCUUACGCGAUGGGCGAAAGCCUGACGGAGCAACGCCGCGUGAGUGAUGAAGGUCUUCGGAUCGUAAAACUCUGUUAUUAGGGAAGAACAUAUGUGUAAGUAACUGUGCACAUCUUGACGGUACCUAAUCAGAAAGCCACGGCUAACUACGUG
This 497-nucleotide ribosomal RNA is filed under the name uncultured bacterium. Its description in RNAcentral is "partial 16S ribosomal RNA". It matches the Rfam family "Bacterial small subunit ribosomal RNA", at positions 28 to 507 of the family's 1533-position model. The record is from RNAcentral.